AUACGUAGGGGGCGAGCGUUAUCCGGAUUCAUUGGGCGUAAAGCGCGCGUAGGCGGCCCGUUUGGUCGGGAGUUAAAUCCGGGGGCUCAACCCCCGCCCGCUCCCGAUACCGGCGGGCUUGAGGGUGGGAGGGGAAGGCGGAAUUUCAAGUGUAGCGGGGGGAGGCGCAGAGAUUUGGAAGAACACCGGUGCGGAAGGCGGCCUUCUGGGCCACAGCUGACGCGGAGGCGCGAAAGCGAGGGGGGCGAAAAGGAUUAGAUACCCGGUGAGUCCUAGCCGUAAACGAUGGACACUAGGUGUGGGGGGAUGGGCCCUCCGUGCCGCAGCUAACGCAUUAAGUGUCCCGCCUGGGGAGUACGGCCGCAAGGCUAAAACUCAAAUGAAUUGACGGGGG
Molecule: ribosomal RNA, 394 nt
Filed under: uncultured bacterium
Lineage: Bacteria
Description: partial 16S ribosomal RNA
Rfam family: Bacterial small subunit ribosomal RNA
Source: RNAcentral